Molecule: ribosomal RNA, 253 nt
Filed under: uncultured bacterium
Lineage: Bacteria
Description: partial 16S ribosomal RNA
Rfam family: Bacterial small subunit ribosomal RNA
Source: RNAcentral
UACGAGAGGCCCGAGCGUUAAUCGGAAUCACUGGGCUUAAAGGGUGCGCAGGCUGGUCCGUGUGUGUGUCGUGAAAUCCCCCGGCUCAACCGGGGAAUUGCGGCGCAAACUGCGGACCUUGAGGCAGGUAGGGGUCGUUGGAACGAUAGGUGGAGCGGUGAAAUGCGUUGAGAUCGAUCGGAACGCCGAAGGUGAAGACAAGCGACUGGGCCUGACCUGACGCUCAUGCAAGAAAGCGUGGGGAGCAAACAGG